RNAcentral lists this ribosomal RNA (402 nucleotides) under uncultured bacterium. RNAcentral describes it as "bacterial SSU rRNA". It matches the Rfam family "Bacterial small subunit ribosomal RNA", at positions 355 to 774 of the family's 1533-position model. The record is from RNAcentral.
UGGGGAAUAUUGGACAAUGGGCGCAAGCCUGAUUCAGCCAUGCCGCGUGAGUGAUGAAGGCCCUAGGGCUGUAAAGCUCUUCUGUGCGGGAAGAUAAUGACGGUACCGCAAGAAUAAGCCCCGGCUAACUUCGUGCCAGCAGCCGCGGUAAUACGAAGGGGGCUAGCGUUGCUCGGAAUCACUGGGCGUAAAGGGUGCGUAGGCGGGUCUUUAAGUCAGGGGUGAAAUCCUGGAGCUCAACUCCAGAACUGCCUUUGAUACUGAGGAUCUUGAGUUCGGGAGAGGUCAGUGGAACUGCUAGUGUAGAGGUGAAAUUCGUAGAUAUUCGCAAGAACACCAGUGGCGAAGGCGGCUCACUGGCCCGAUACUGACGCUGAGGCACGAAAGCGUGGGGAGCAAACA